GACAGAGGUGCCGAGCGUUAGGCGGAAUCACUGGGCUUAAAGCGUGUGUAGGCGGAUCCGUAAGUACCUUGUGAAAUCCCACAGCUUAACUGUGGAACUGCUUGGUAUACUGCGGAUCUUGAGCCACCUAGGGGCAACCGGAACAAACGGUGGAGCGGUGAAAUGCGUAGAUAUCGUUUGGAACGCCAAUGGUGAAAACAGGUUGCUGGGGGUGUGCUGACGCUGAGACACGAAAGCCAGGGGAGCGAACGGG
RNAcentral lists this ribosomal RNA (253 nucleotides) under uncultured bacterium. Its description in RNAcentral is "partial 16S ribosomal RNA". It matches the Rfam family "Bacterial small subunit ribosomal RNA", at positions 524 to 776 of the family's 1533-position model. The record is from RNAcentral.